This 253-nucleotide ribosomal RNA is filed under the name uncultured bacterium. RNAcentral describes it as "partial 16S ribosomal RNA". It matches the Rfam family "Bacterial small subunit ribosomal RNA", at positions 524 to 776 of the family's 1533-position model. The record is from RNAcentral.
UACGUAGGGUGCGAGCGUUAAUCGGAAUUACUGGGCGUAAAGCGUGCGCAGGCGGUUUUGUAAGCCAUAUGUGAAAUCCCCGGGCUCAACCUGGGAACUGCAUUUGGGACUGCAAGGCUUGAGUACGGCAGAGGGGGGUAGAAUUCCUGGUGUAGCAGUGAAAUGCGUAGAUAUCAGGAGGAAUACCGAUGGCGAAGGCAGCCCCCUGGGUCGAUACUGACGCUCAUGCACGAAAGCGUGGGGAGCAAACAGG